RNAcentral lists this ribosomal RNA (561 nucleotides) under Pseudomonas sp. R2-8. RNAcentral describes it as "bacterial SSU rRNA". It matches the Rfam family "Bacterial small subunit ribosomal RNA", at positions 137 to 692 of the family's 1533-position model. Lineage: Bacteria; Pseudomonadati; Pseudomonadota; Gammaproteobacteria; Pseudomonadales; Pseudomonadaceae. The record is from RNAcentral.
UGGGGGAUAACGCCUCGGAAACGGACGCUAAUACCGCAUACAUCCUACGGGAGAAAGCAGGGGACCUUCGGGCCUUGCGCUAUCAGAUGAGCCUAGGUCGGAUUAGCUAGUUGGUGAGGUAAUGGCUCACCAAGGCGACGAUCCGUAACUGGUCUGAGAGGAUGAUCAGUCACACUGGAACUGAGACACGGUCCAGACUCCUACGGGAGGCAGCAGUGGGGAAUAUUGGACAAUGGGCGAAAGCCUGAUCCAGCCAUGCCGCGUGUGUGAAGAAGGUCUUCGGAUUGUAAAGCACUUUAAGUUGGGAGGAAGGGCAGUUACCUAAUACGUGAUUGUUUUGACGUUACCGACAGAAUAAGCACCGGCUAACUCUGUGCCAGCAGCCGCGGUAAUACAGAGGGUGCAAGCGUUAAUCGGAAUUACUGGGCGUAAAGCGCGCGUAGGUGGUUCGUUAAGUUGGAUGUGAAAUCCCCGGGCUCAACCUGGGAACUGCAUUCAAAACUGUCGAGCUAGAGUAUGGUAGAGGGUGGUGGAAUUUCCUGUGUAGCGGUGAAAUGCGUA